Stegodyphus mimosarum is the source of this 74-nucleotide non-coding RNA. The record is from Rfam. NCBI's taxonomy places the organism in Eukaryota, Metazoa, Arthropoda, Arachnida, Araneae, Eresidae.
GCCUUCGUGGGUGUAGUGGUCUGCAUGGUCGACGCGUAACCGAGAGGUCCGUGGUUCGAUUCCCGGCGAAGGCG